RNAcentral lists this ribosomal RNA (280 nucleotides) under Salmonella enterica. Its description in RNAcentral is "partial 16S ribosomal RNA". It matches the Rfam family "Bacterial small subunit ribosomal RNA", at positions 153 to 435 of the family's 1533-position model. Lineage: Bacteria; Pseudomonadati; Pseudomonadota; Gammaproteobacteria; Enterobacterales; Enterobacteriaceae. The record is from RNAcentral.
GAAACGGUGGCUAAUACCGCAUAACGUCGCAAGACCAAAGAGGGGGACCUUCGGGCCUCUUGCCAUCAGAUGUGCCCAGAUGGGAUUAGCUUGUUGGUGAGGUAACGGCUCACCAAGGCGACGAUCCCUAGCUGGUCUGAGAGGAUGACCAGCCACACUGGAACUGAGACACGGUCCAGACUCCUACGGGAGGCAGCAGUGGGGAAUAUUGCACAAUGGGCGCAAGCCUGAUGCAGCCAUGCCGCGUGUAUGAAGAAGGCCUUCGGGUUGUAAAGUACUU